UCCCUGGUGGCUGAAAGGUUAAAGCAUCUGCCUGCAAUGUGGGAGACCUGGGUUCGAUCCCUGGAUCGGGAA
This 72-nucleotide transfer RNA is filed under the name Ovis aries (sheep). It matches the Rfam family "tRNA". Rfam says of the family: Transfer RNA (tRNA) molecules are approximately 80 nucleotides in length. The record is from Rfam by way of RNAcentral. Lineage: Eukaryota; Metazoa; Chordata; Mammalia; Artiodactyla; Bovidae.